GACCUUGCAGAGUUGAGCGCCAA
This 23-nucleotide non-coding RNA is filed under the name Arabidopsis thaliana (thale cress). The record is from RNAcentral. Lineage: Eukaryota; Viridiplantae; Streptophyta; Magnoliopsida; Brassicales; Brassicaceae.